GUGGGGAAUAUUGGACAAUGGGGGGAACCCUGAUCCAGCCAUGCCGCGUGUGUGAAGAAGGCCUUUUGGUUGUAAAGCACUUUAAGCGGGGAGGAGGCUCUUGAGGAUAAUACCCUUGAUGAGUGGACGUUACCCGCAGAAUAAGCACCGGCUAACUCUGUGCCAGCAGCCGCGGUAAUACAGAGGGUGCGAGCGUUAAUCGGAUUUACUGGGCGUAAAGCGUGCGUAGGCGGCUGAAUAAGUCGGAUGUGAAAUCCCCGAGCUUAACUUGGGAAUUGCAUUCGAUACUGAUUAGCUAGAGUAUGGGAGAGGAUGGUAGAAUUCCAGGUGUAGCGGUGAAAUGCGUAGAGAUCUGGAGGAAUACCGAUGGCGAAGGCAGCCAUCUGGCCUAAUACUGACACUGAGGUGCGAAAGCAUGGGGAGCAAACAGGAUUAGAAACCCGAGUAGUCC
RNAcentral lists this ribosomal RNA (451 nucleotides) under uncultured bacterium. Its description in RNAcentral is "partial 16S ribosomal RNA". It matches the Rfam family "Bacterial small subunit ribosomal RNA", at positions 354 to 796 of the family's 1533-position model. The record is from RNAcentral.